This 467-nucleotide ribosomal RNA is filed under the name uncultured bacterium. Its description in RNAcentral is "partial 16S ribosomal RNA". It matches the Rfam family "Bacterial small subunit ribosomal RNA", at positions 29 to 507 of the family's 1533-position model. The record is from RNAcentral.
ACGAACGCUGGCGGCGUGCUUAACACAUGCAAGUCGAACGGAAAGGCCCUGCUUUUGUGGGGUGCUCGAGUGGCGAACGGGUGAGUAACACGUGAGUAACCUGCCCUUGACUUUGGGAUAACUUCAGGAAACUGGGGCUAAUACCGGAUAGGAGCUCCUGCUGCAUGGUGGGGGUUGGAAAGUUUCGGCGGUUGGGGAUGGACUCGCGGCUUAUCAGCUUGUUGGUGGGGUAGCGGCUUACCAAGGCUUUGACGGGUAGCCGGCCUGAGAGGGUGACCGGCCACAUUGGGACUGAGAUACGGCCCAGACUCCUACGGGAGGCAGCAGUGGGGAAUAUUGCACAAUGGGCGGAAGCCUGAUGCAGCAACGCCGCGUGCGGGAUGACGGCCUUCGGGUUGUAAACCGCCUUCGCCUGUGACGAAGCGUGAGUGACGGUAAUGGGUAAAGAAGCACCGGCUAACUACGUG